Molecule: ribosomal RNA, 303 nt
Filed under: Triticum aestivum (bread wheat)
Lineage: Eukaryota; Viridiplantae; Streptophyta; Magnoliopsida; Poales; Poaceae
Description: partial small subunit ribosomal RNA
Source: RNAcentral
AUGAUCGCUUGGUUCGCUAGAAGAUUAUGCAGAUACUCCUCGAUGUUUCUCGAGACCCUGUGCCAACUGCCUUGCAGUUCCCGACCACCGAUAAUCCCCAUGAAUAACAUCCUUGCCGCUUGUACCUUCAUCCCUAGUUGCUCCUAUUAUUACAAGAUACCACUAGUACUCUCCGUUGUUCCGAGAAUCCUUUAUGCCUUCUACUUGCAGCUUCUUUUCGAACUGCGGAUAAUUCACUUAACCGGGGUUCGUUCAACCCCAGCUGUUCAUUUGCUUUCGAAAAUACCUGAAAAAGCUAUCUGA